This 404-nucleotide long non-coding RNA is filed under the name Mytilus galloprovincialis (Mediterranean mussel). Lineage: Eukaryota; Metazoa; Mollusca; Bivalvia; Mytilida; Mytilidae. The record is from RNAcentral.
GUCAAAUAAGGGGAGGCAACUCAAAUGCAAGGGCAGAUAAUUCAGAUAGUGUUACUUUUACAAUAGAAUGUGUUAGGAAUUUAUACAUUUUUACAUGUAGCAAGAAAACGAGUCUGGUGACCCCAUUUUUUCUUUUUCUUAUCUGAAAGCAUAAUAUUGGAGCUAUCUUCUCAUAUUUUAUCUCAAAAUUCUAUGGUGUGGUUUGCGUUUUAUGGCGGAAAAAUGGGUUCUCCAUGCAUAAUCUAUACAAAAUCUUGACAAUUUUGCACAACCUGUAGUGUGAAAAUAAGUACGGUGACCCAUUCUUUUUAUUAAUGUUUUUAAACAAGCAGGAUAUGAACUACAUUUUGGCAAAUUAUUAAAAGAUUCUAUGGAUUAUAAUUUAGACACCCCAUCUACCUUAA